This 402-nucleotide RNase P RNA is filed under the name Streptomyces sp. b94. RNAcentral describes it as "RNase P RNA component class A". It matches the Rfam family "Bacterial RNase P class A". Rfam says of the family: Ribonuclease P (RNase P) is a ubiquitous endoribonuclease, found in archaea, bacteria and eukarya as well as chloroplasts and mitochondria. Its best characterised activity is the generation of mature 5'-ends of tRNAs by cleaving the 5'-leader elements of precursor-tRNAs. The record is from RNAcentral. RNAcentral also lists the same sequence under 1 other name. Lineage: Bacteria; Bacillati; Actinomycetota; Actinomycetes; Kitasatosporales; Streptomycetaceae.
CGAGCCGGGCGGGCGGCCGCGUGGAGUCCCUUGCGGGACUUCCCGAGGAACGUCCGGGCUCCACAGGGCAGGGUGAUGGCUAACGGCCACCCGGGGUGACCCGCGGGACAGUGCCACAGAAAGCAGACCGCCCGGCGCUUCGGCGCCGGGUAAGGGUGAAACGGUGGUGUAAGAGACCACCAGUGCCCAGGGCGACCUGGGCAGCUAGGUAAACCCCACCCGGAGCAAGGUCAAAAGGAGACACCCCGGUGUCUCUGCGCGGACGUACGAGGGCUGCCCGCCCGAGUCCGCGGGUAGACCGCACGAGACCGGUGGCAACGCCGGUCCUAGAUGGAUGGCCGUCGCCGGCGGGCCCGCGAGGACCCACCGGAACAGAACCCGGCGUACAGCCCGACUCGUCUG